ACUACCAGCUAAGGUCCCUAAAUCUUACUUAAGUGGAAAACGAUGUGAAGUUACUUAAACAACCAGGAGGUUGGCUUAGAAGCAGCCAUCCUUUAAAGAAAGCGUAAUAGCUCACUGGUCUAGUGAUUUUGCGCGGAAAAUAUAACGGGGCUAAAGUAAGUACCGAAGCUGUAGACUUGCACACAACUUAGAUUAUUUAAGUUUAGAAUAUGAGAAACUAAGUUAUAUGUUUAGUUAUAUUUUUACUGAUUUUUAUAGAGUAAAGAUAGAAAUAAAACUUAGUAAAAUCAGUAAAAAUAUUCUUAGGCUAAAGUUAAGUAGUUUAAGUUGUGUGCAAGUGGUAGGAGAGCGUUCUAUUUGCGUCGAAGGUAUACCGGUAAGGAGUGCUGGAGCGAAUAGAAGUGAGCAUGCAGGCAUGAGUAGCGAUAAUUAAUGUGAGAAUCAUUAACGCCGUAAACCCAAGGUUUCCUACGCGAUGCUCGUCAUCGUAGGGUUAGUCGGGUCCUAAGUCGAGUCCGAAAGGGGUAGACGAUGGCAAAUUGGUUAAUAUUCCAAUACCAACAUUAGUGUGCGAUGGAAGGACGCUUAGGGCUAAGGGGGCUAGCGGAUGGAAGUGCUAGUCUAAGGUCGUAGGAGGUUAUACAGGCAAAUCCGUAUAACAAUACUCCGAGAACUGAAAGGCUUUUUGAAGUCUUCGGAUGGAUAGAAGAACCCCUGAUGCCGUCGAGCCAAGAAAAGUUUCUAAGUUUAGCUAAUGUUGCCCGUACCGUAAACCGACACAGGUGGGUGGGAUGAGUAUUCUAAGGCGCGUGGAAGAACUCUCUUUAAGGAACUCUGCAAAAUAGCACCGUAUCUUCGGUAUAAGGUGUGGUUAGCUUUGUAUUAGGAUUUACUCCGAAAGCAAGGAAACUUACAACAAAGAGUCCCUCCCGACUGUUUACCAAAAACACAGCACUCUGCUAACUCGUAAGAGGAUGUAUAGGGUGUGACGCCUGCCCGGUGCUCGAAGGUUAAUUGAUGGGGUUAGCAUUAGCGAAGCUCUUGAUCGAAGCCCGAGUAAACGGCGGCCGUAACUAUAACGGUCCUAAGGUAGCGAAAUUCCUUGUCGGUUAAAUACCGACCUGCAUGAAUGGCGUAACGAGAUGGGAGCUGUCUCAAAGAGGGAUCCAGUGAAAUUGUAGUGGAGGUGAAAAUUCCUCCUACCCGCGGCAAGACGGAAAGACCCCGUGGACCUUUACUACAGCUUGACACUGCUACUUGGAUAAGAAUGUGCAGGAUAGGUGGGAGGCUUUGAGUAUAUGACGCCAGUUGUAUAUGAGCCAUUGUUGAGAUACCACUCUUUCUUAUUUGGGUAGCUAACCAGCUUGAGUUAUCCUCAAGUGGGACAAUGUCUGGUGGGUAGUUUGACUGGGGCGGUCGCCUCCCAAAUAAUAACGGAGGCUUACAAAGGUUGGCUCAGAACGGUUGGAAAUCGUUCGUAGAGUAUAAAGGUAUAAGCCAGCUUAACUGCAAGACAUACAAGUCAAGCAGAGACGAAAGUCGGUCUUAGUGAUCCGGUGGUUCUGUGUGGAAGGGCCAUCGCUCAAAGGAUAAAAGGUACCCCGGGGAUAACAGGCUGAUCUCCCCCAAGAGCUCACAUCGACGGGGAGGUUUGGCACCUCGAUGUCGGCUCAUCGCAUCCUGGGGCUGGAGCAGGUCCCAAGGGUAUGGCUGUUCGCCAUUUAAAGCGGUACGCGAGCUGGGUUCAGAACGUCGUGAGACAGUUCGGUCCCUAUCUGCCGUGGGCGUAAGAAGAUUGAAGAGAUUUGACCCUAGUACGAGAGGACCGGGUUGAACAAACCACUGGUGUAGCUGUUGUUCUGCCAAGAGCAUCGCAGCGUAGCUAAGUUUGGAAAGGAUAAACGCUGAAAGCAUCUAAGCGUGAAGCCAACUCUAAGAUGAAUCUUCUCUAAGCUCUCUAGAAGACUACUAGUUUGAUAGGCUGGGUGUGUAAUGGAUGAAAGUCCUUUAGCUGACCAGUACUAAUAGAGCGUUUGGCUUAUCUUUAAUAAAGCAU
This 2056-nucleotide ribosomal RNA is filed under the name Campylobacter jejuni. Its description in RNAcentral is "partial 23S ribosomal RNA". It matches the Rfam family "Bacterial large subunit ribosomal RNA", at positions 1031 to 2925 of the family's 2925-position model. The record is from RNAcentral. Lineage: Bacteria; Pseudomonadati; Campylobacterota; Epsilonproteobacteria; Campylobacterales; Campylobacteraceae.